This 59-nucleotide transfer RNA is filed under the name Dipylidium caninum. RNAcentral describes it as "tRNA-Ser". The record is from RNAcentral. Lineage: Eukaryota; Metazoa; Platyhelminthes; Cestoda; Cyclophyllidea; Dipylidiidae.
AGAGGAAAUUAUAAAGUCACUGCUAAUGAUUUUUAGUCAAUUUGGUUUGACUUCUUCUU